This 454-nucleotide ribosomal RNA is filed under the name uncultured Rhodocyclaceae bacterium. RNAcentral describes it as "bacterial SSU rRNA". It matches the Rfam family "Bacterial small subunit ribosomal RNA", at positions 927 to 1382 of the family's 1533-position model. The record is from RNAcentral. Lineage: Bacteria; Pseudomonadati; Pseudomonadota; Betaproteobacteria; Rhodocyclales; Rhodocyclaceae.
AAGCGGUGGAUGAUGUGGAUUAAUUCGAUGCAACGCGAAAACCUUACUACCCUUGACAUGUCCGGAAUCCCGAAGAGAUUUGGGAGUGCUCGCAAGAGAACCGGAACACAGGUGCUGCAUGGCUGUCGUCAGCUCGUGUCGUGAGAUGUUGGGUUAAGUCCCGCAACGAGCGCAACCCUUGUCAUUAGUUGCCAUCAUUUGGUUGGGCACUCUAAUGAGACUGCCGGUGACAAACCGGAGGAAGGUGGGGAUGACGUCAAGUCCUCAUGGCCCUUAUGGGUAGGGCUUCACACGUCAUACAAUGGUCGGUACAGAGGGUUGCCAACCCGCGAGGGGGAGCCAAUCCCACAAAGCCGGUCGUAGUCCGGAUCGCAGUCUGCAACUCGACUGCGUGAAGUCGGAAUCGCUAGUAAUCGCGGAUCAGCAUGUCGCGGUGAAUACGUUCCCGGGCCUU